GCCGGGUGCGGUGGCGCGUGCCUGUAAUCCAAGCUACCGGGAGGCUGAGGUUGGAGGAUCGUUUGAGCUCAGGAGCUCUGAGCUGCAGCGGACUAUGCCGAUCGGGUGUCCGCACUAAGUUCGGCAUCGAUAUGGUGAUCCUGGGGGAGCCCGGGACCAACAGGUCGUCUAAAGAGGGGUGCACCGGCCCAGGUCGGAGACGGAGCAGGUCAAAGCCCCCGUGCUGCUCAGUUGUGGGAUGGCACCUGUGAAUAGACGCUGCAGUGCAGCCUGAGCAAUACAGCGAGACCCAAUCUUUA
Molecule: unclassified non-coding RNA, 299 nt
Organism: Oreochromis aureus
Lineage: Eukaryota; Metazoa; Chordata; Actinopteri; Cichliformes; Cichlidae
Rfam family: Metazoan signal recognition particle RNA
About the family: The signal recognition particle (SRP) is a universally conserved ribonucleoprotein. It is involved in the co-translational targeting of proteins to membranes.
Source: Ensembl